Molecule: non-coding RNA, 30 nt
Filed under: Mus musculus (house mouse)
Lineage: Eukaryota; Metazoa; Chordata; Mammalia; Rodentia; Muridae
Source: RNAcentral
UUUCGAGGCCAAGGAUUCAAAAAUUUCAAC